AAUCAACGCUGGCGGCGUGCCUAACACAUGCAAGUCGAACGCGAAAGCCCCUUCGGGGGUUAGUAGAGUGGCGUCCGGGUGAGUAACACGUGGGUAAUCUGCCUUCGGGUGGGGAAUAACCCAGGGAAACUUGGGCUAAUACCGCAUAAUGCAGCGGCACCUAAUGGUGAUUAGUUGUUAAAGCGGGGGAUCGCAAGACCUCGCGCCUGAAGAGGAGCCUGCGGCAGAUUAGCAGUUGGUGAGGUAAUGGCUCACCAAGGCUUCGAUCUGUAGCUGGUCUGAGAGGACGGCCAGCCACACUGGCACUGACACACGGGCCAGACUCCUACGGGAGGCAGCAGUGGGGAAUUUUGGGCAAUGGGCGAAAGCCUGACGCAGCGACGCCGCGUGAGGGAUGACGGCCUCGGUU
This 409-nucleotide ribosomal RNA is filed under the name uncultured bacterium. RNAcentral describes it as "bacterial SSU rRNA". It matches the Rfam family "Bacterial small subunit ribosomal RNA", at positions 32 to 424 of the family's 1533-position model. The record is from RNAcentral.